AUAAUGGAGACGGAAAACUAAUAGCUUUUUUCCUUCUGCUGACGAGGCAACUCCAAUAUCACUGAAACAGGUCAUUGAUUAGAAAGUACAUGAAGGAACAAAAUCGAAUUUAGAACAUUUGCUUUGAUUCAGAAGUUUCAGAGAUUUUGUACCGAUGAUUAUUUUUCCAGUUUGCCGGCUGCUACGUGUAGAUUUCUGCUUUGCUUCCUUCAAUAUUCCACUGUUCACUCACACUGACUUUUUGACUGUCGUCUUUUCUGUUGUCGAUCGGUGCAGACGUUAAAAGGUGUCUGGUAGAUGUCUGUCCAGCUGAAGAUGAUGCAUUGGACAGGGUGGAGCCCGUUCCACAAAGCAAAUCUCUGACUCCACCCACUAACUCAGAUCCACCAGAUGAAACUACGGCGACUUCAAACCAGACCGAGCCAGAGUUGCAAAAGAAAGAUGUUGAGACUCCAGCUUUCCACCCUGUUACCCAACAACCUGGUCCACAAGUACCAGAGAUCCCUCCCACUGCCACAGACCAGGACAAUACAACGGCAGCAGAAGCGGGACAUGGAGGUGAGAGAAUGAAAUUUUUGGCAGAGCAACCUUCAGCAGGAACAAAACUUAUGUCCUCUUUAUGACCAAUUAAUUAUCUGAUGGAAAACUUUUAUGAGAUUCAGACGUUUUAUUUUAUUUAAUUGCAAAAUAAAUGUGCAACAAGGAUCUCUGAUUUGUUUUUCAUUUUUAUUAGAUGUGGAAGCUAAUUUUGUGAAUGGAUUUGUAGAUUUGAUCAAAGGUAACAGUUAAAACAUCAACAUUUCCAGUAAAACAUCUCAAUAAUUAAAUCAUAU
Molecule: long non-coding RNA, 833 nt
Organism: Thalassophryne amazonica
Lineage: Eukaryota; Metazoa; Chordata; Actinopteri; Batrachoidiformes; Batrachoididae
Exons: 3
Source: RefSeq, a predicted model, not a curated record